GACUACAGGGGUAUCUAAUCCUGUUUGCUCCCCACGCUUUCGCACCUCAGCGUCAAUGCCGGUCCAGUGAGCCGCCUUCGCCACUGGUGUUCUUCCGAAUAUCUACGAAUUUCACCUCUACACUCGGAAUUCCACUCACCUCUCCCGGAUUCUAGCAAUCCAGUCUCAAAGGCAAUUCCGGGGUUGAGCCCCGGGCUUUCACCUCUGACUUAGAUCGCCGCCUACGUGCGCUUUACGCCCAGUAAUUCCGAACAACGCUAGCUCCCUCCGUAUUACCGCGGCUGCUGGCACGGAGUUAGCCGGAGCUUAUUCUCCCGAUACUGUCAUUAUCAUCUCGGGUAAAAGAGCUUUACAACCCUAAGGCCUUCAUCACUCACGCGGCAUUGCUGGAUCAGGGUUUCCCCCAUUGUCCAAUAUUCCCCACUGCUGCCCCCCGUAGG
This 440-nucleotide ribosomal RNA is filed under the name uncultured Sphingobium sp. RNAcentral's name for it is "partial 16S ribosomal RNA". Lineage: Bacteria; Pseudomonadati; Pseudomonadota; Alphaproteobacteria; Sphingomonadales; Sphingobiaceae. The record is from RNAcentral.